CCUUCGAUAGCUCAGUUGGUAGAGCGGAGGACUGUAGUGUGUAAACGGUAAUCCUUAGGUCGCUGGUUCGACUCCGGCUCGAAGGA
Non-coding RNA from Crenichthys baileyi (White River springfish), 86 nucleotides. Lineage: Eukaryota; Metazoa; Chordata; Actinopteri; Cyprinodontiformes; Goodeidae. The record is from the annotation of a GenBank genome assembly.